UAGGGAAUCUUGCCACAAUGGACGCAAGUCUGAUGGAGCAACGCCGCGUGAGUGAAGAAGGCUUUCGGGUCGUAAAACUCUGUUAUUGAAGAAGAACGUGUGUGACAGUAACUGGUCAUGCAGUGACGGUAUUCAAUCAGAAAGUCACGGCUAACUACGUGCCAGCAGCCGCGGUAAUACGUAGGUGGCAAGCGUUGUCCGGAUUUAUUGGGCGUA
This 216-nucleotide ribosomal RNA is filed under the name uncultured bacterium. RNAcentral describes it as "partial 16S ribosomal RNA". It matches the Rfam family "Bacterial small subunit ribosomal RNA", at positions 355 to 562 of the family's 1533-position model. The record is from RNAcentral.